Molecule: ribosomal RNA, 916 nt
Filed under: uncultured marine group I thaumarchaeote
Lineage: Archaea; Thermoproteati; Nitrososphaerota
Description: bacterial SSU rRNA
Rfam family: Archaeal small subunit ribosomal RNA
Source: RNAcentral
UUCCGGUUGAUCCUGCCGGACCUGACUGCUAUCGGAUUGAUACUAAGCCAUGCGAGUCUUUGUAGUAAUACAAGGCAUACGGCUCAGUAACACGUAGUCAACCUACCCUAUGGACGAGAAUAAUCUCGGGAAACUGAGCAUAAUUCUUGAUAGAUCAUAAUGCCUGGAAUGGUUUAUGGUUAAAAUGAUUCGUCGCCAUAGGAUGGGACUGCGGCCUAUCAGCUUGUUGGUGAGGUAAUGGCCCACCAAGGCGAUUACAGGUACGGGCCCUGAGAGGAGAAGCCCGGAGAUGGGUACUGAGACACGGACCCAGGCCCUAUGGGGCGCAGCAGGCGAGAAAACUUUGCAAUGUGCGAAAGCACGACAAGGUUAAUCCGAGUGAUUUCUGCUAAAGAAAUCUUUUGUCAGUCUUAAAAGCACUGGCGAAUAAGGGGUGGGCAAGUUCUGGUGUCAGCCGCCGCGGUAAAACCAGCACCUCAAGUGGUCAGGAUGAUUAUUGGGCCUAAAGCAUCCGUAGCCGGCUUUGUUAGUUUUCGGUUAAAUCCAUGUGCUCAACGCAUGGGCUGCCGAAAAUACUGCAUAGCUAGGGAGUGGGAGAGGUAGACGGUACUCAGUAGGAAGGGGUAAAAUCCUUUGAUCUAUUGAUGACCACCUGUGGCGAAGGCGGUCUACCAGAACACGUUCGACGGUGAGGGAUGAAAGCUGGGGGAGCAAACCGGAUUAGAUACCCGGGUAGUCCCAGCUGUAAACGAUGCUGACUCGAUGAUGCAUUGGCAUAAUAGCCAGUGCAGUGUCGCAGGGAAGCCGUUAAGUCUGCCGCCUGGGAAGUACGUACGCAAGUAUGAAACUUAAAGGAAUUGGCGGGGGAGCACCACAAGGGGUGAAGCCUGCGGUUCAAUUGGACUCAACGCCGGGA